This 397-nucleotide ribosomal RNA is filed under the name uncultured bacterium. RNAcentral describes it as "partial 16S ribosomal RNA". It matches the Rfam family "Bacterial small subunit ribosomal RNA", at positions 523 to 918 of the family's 1533-position model. The record is from RNAcentral.
AUACGUAGGGGGCGAGCGUUGUCCGGAAUGAUUGGGCGUAAAGGGCGCGUAGGCGGCCCGGUAAGUCUGGAGUGAAAGUCCUGUUUUUAAGAUGGGAAUUGCUUUGGAUACUGUCGGGCUUGAGUGCAGGAGAGGUAAGUGGAAUUCCCAGUGUAGCGGUGAAAUGCGUAGAGAUUGGGAGGAACUCCAGUGGCGAAGGCGACUUACUGGACUGUAACUGACGCUGAGGCGCGAAAGUGUGGGGAGCAAACAGGAUUAGAUACCCUGGUAGUCCACACUGUAAACGAUGAAUGCUAGGUGUAGGGGGUAUCGACCCCUUCUGUGCCGCAGUCAACACAAUAAGCAUUCCGCCUGGGGAGUACGGCCGCAAGGUUGAAACUCAAAUGAAUUGGCGGGG